GCGGAAGUGGCUCAGUUGGUAGAGCAUCACCUUGCCAAGGUGAGGGUCGCGGGUUCGAGUCCCGUCUUCCGCUCCG
RNAcentral lists this transfer RNA (76 nucleotides) under Chloroflexota bacterium. Its description in RNAcentral is "Chloroflexi bacterium (soil metagenome) tRNA-Gly". It matches the Rfam family "tRNA". From Rfam's summary of the family: Transfer RNA (tRNA) molecules are approximately 80 nucleotides in length. Their secondary structure includes four short double-helical elements and three loops (D, anti-codon, and T loops). Lineage: Bacteria; Bacillati; Chloroflexota. The record is from RNAcentral.